Molecule: ribosomal RNA, 253 nt
Filed under: uncultured microorganism
Description: partial 16S ribosomal RNA
Rfam family: Bacterial small subunit ribosomal RNA
Source: RNAcentral
UACGGAGGGUGCGAGCGUUAUUCGGAAUCACUGGGCGUAAAGGGCGCGUAGGCGGCCUGGUAAGUCAGGGGUGAAAUCCCACGGCUCAACCGUGGAAUUGCCUUUGAAACUGCUGGGCUUGGAUCCUGGAGAGGGUGGCGGAAUUCCUGGUGUAGGAGUGAAAUCCGUAGAUAUCAGGAGGAACACCGGUGGCGAAGGCGGCCACCUGGACAGGUAUCGACGCUGAGGCGCGAAAGCGUGGGGAGCGAACGGG